AGAAGGGACAAAGGGGAGGACGUUUCUUCUCUCCGCUUAAAUUGCUCAACCUCUUACUUUGGCCUGAGAAGGCCUGGAGCAGGUAAAAUAUACUUAAUUCCCGGUCCGAGGAAGACAACACAAAAGUCUUAUCCAAUCACAGCAUUAAGGUCAAAGUCCACAUAUUGAGUCUGGGUACUUCCUUUGGAUGCAAAGACCCACGAACCAAAAAGAUUACAAUCUGACCCCCAUCUCCGGUGGUGAAAUAGAAAGAAGAUGAUCACACCC
RNAcentral lists this long non-coding RNA (267 nucleotides) under Equus caballus (horse). Its description in RNAcentral is "lncRNA (ENSECAG00000052608.1)". The record is from RNAcentral. Lineage: Eukaryota; Metazoa; Chordata; Mammalia; Perissodactyla; Equidae.